GGGGGCGACAUGGCUUCGACGGGGAUAUCGAAAUCGCCUGGUGCAUGCCGAGGGGGCAGCUUUCCUCGUUAAUCCAGC
Molecule: transfer-messenger RNA, 78 nt
Filed under: Lysobacteraceae bacterium
Lineage: Bacteria; Pseudomonadati; Pseudomonadota; Gammaproteobacteria; Lysobacterales; Lysobacteraceae
Description: partial transfer-messenger RNA
Rfam family: transfer-messenger RNA
About the family: Bacterial tmRNA, also known as 10Sa RNA or SsrA, is named for its dual tRNA and mRNA-like properties.
Source: RNAcentral